This 253-nucleotide ribosomal RNA is filed under the name uncultured bacterium. RNAcentral describes it as "partial 16S ribosomal RNA". It matches the Rfam family "Bacterial small subunit ribosomal RNA", at positions 524 to 776 of the family's 1533-position model. The record is from RNAcentral.
CACGUAGGGUGCAAGCGUUGUCCGGAUUUACUGGGCGUAAAGAGCGCGCAGGCGGUCGUUCAAGUCGCGUGUGAAAGCCCCCGGCUCAACUGGGGAGGGUCACGCGAUACUGAUCGACUCGAAGGCAGGAGAGGGUAGUGGAAUUCCCGGUGUAGUGGUGAAAUGCGUAGAUAUCGGGAGGAACACCAGUGGCGAAGGCGACUACCUGGCCUGUUCUUGACGCUGAGGCGCGAAAGCUAGGGGAGCAAACGGG